Molecule: long non-coding RNA, 1071 nt
Organism: Anarrhichthys ocellatus (wolf-eel)
Lineage: Eukaryota; Metazoa; Chordata; Actinopteri; Perciformes; Anarhichadidae
Exons: 3
Source: RefSeq, a predicted model, not a curated record
CUAUCACGCGGUUCACUUCACACUCCGUUUAAAGGUGCGCUGGACUCACGUUGGUCGUGAAGGUCCGGCUCAUGAGUUCCUCCCUGUCUCGGUCCUGGGCCUCUCUGGCGUAGCGUCGGUGCUGGAAAUUCUGCAGGGCGGUCCGAAGGUGUUGGACAUCAUACUUCAGCUGGUCCACUCGCCUGAGGGAAAGCAAAGAACAAAGUUAAACUGUUGAUUCACCUUUAGUGUGAAGUGAAGCAUCAUUGAACCACAUCAUAUACGUAAUUCUAACGAUUCCUAAUUGCUCUGGCUGAUGAGAGCAUUUCUUUCCCCUCAGAUCUCAUGCGGUUGGAAUGAAGGGCCUCUCACAGUCCUCAGCUUCACUCUCAGACCCCACUAGAGCUCCGCUGAGAUCGGAGGAGCGAUGUGGGACGGGGUGCACCGUGUCCCCUCAGGCCUGUUUACCCAGCUCAGAAUGAGUCUUUGCCCAACGCAGCAGGAAUGCUGGUGAUGACGUGGCUGCUGAGGAAAUGUUUUCACAGAGCUGCCUGUCUCCUGUCCUACACCCUCUGCGUUUAUCAGAUGACGGCUCACCCCUGCACCGCUCGGUGGGCUCUAGGGUCACCAUCAACUGACUGACUCACUCCAAACUCACACUUUGGCGUUCUGCCGGCGGUUCAGUGGUUCCUUGCUGGCCAAGAUCUCGAGGCGUUCCAACUGGUUGAAGAUCUGGUCGAUUCUAGCCUGCAGCUCGUUCUCCAACACUAAAGAACACAAAAAGGAGAGAAUUCAUUUGGUGUAAUUACAGGAAGGAAGACGCAGUGAUCAGAUCUCCCAUAUACGACUGCACCUCCUGGAUUUGCCUAAUCCAAAAUAAAACGUCACGUGGAUGAGAACCAACACAUGAUGCCAAAAUACAACCUGACAAACAUUUAAAUACGUCAACGAUCUGCUGUGUGGAGAGUUUAAUGAUCAACAACCCCCAAUAUGAUGGUAUCCGUGUGCUACAGGUGUCAGAAUAUUCCUGCCUGUCCAUCUGGAGGCUUCCUUCUUGCCUGCGGCCAGAGACACCAAAAACUAAUGAUAUCA